AGCUCCAAUAGCGUAUAUUAAAGUUGUUGCAGUUAAAAAGCUCGUAGUUGGAUUUGUGGCUGACGUUGGGCUUCCAUCCCUUUUGGGUUGUGUGUUGCCCGGCGUUGCCAUCCUUGGGUGGAAUCUGUGUGGCAUUAGGUUGUCGUGCAGGGGAUGCCCAUCGUUUACUGUGAAAAAAUUAGAGUGUUCAAAGCAGGCUUAUGCCGUUGAAUAUGUUAGCAUGGAAUAAUAAGAUAGGACCUUGGUACUAUUUUGUUGGUUUGCGCACCGAGGUAAUGAUUAAUAGGGACAGUUGGGGGUAUUCGUAUUCCAUUGUCAGAGGUGAAAUUCUUGGAUUUUUGGAAGACGAACUACUGCGAAAGCAUUUACCAAGGAUGUUUUCAUUAAUCAAGAACGAAAG
This 400-nucleotide ribosomal RNA is filed under the name phytoplankton environmental sample. RNAcentral describes it as "partial small subunit ribosomal RNA". It matches the Rfam family "Eukaryotic small subunit ribosomal RNA", at positions 587 to 989 of the family's 1831-position model. The record is from RNAcentral.